Balaenoptera acutorostrata (minke whale) is the source of this 987-nucleotide long non-coding RNA. RefSeq lists it as uncharacterized. The record is from RefSeq and is a predicted model, not a curated record. NCBI's taxonomy places the organism in Eukaryota, Metazoa, Chordata, Mammalia, Artiodactyla, Balaenopteridae. The transcript has 7 exons.
AACUGAGGCCGGGAUGGGAAGGACUCAGCCAAGGCCGCACAGCAAGUCUGGGCAGAGCAUGGACCAGGCUCUUCCUACUUUCUCCACGGCACCGGCUGGAGGAAUCACAUGCAGAUCCUGCCCCUUCCAAGCUCAUAGUCGUGCUGGGGAGACAGGCCAAGGGGAAGCGUCUGACAGGUCUCACCAGCCAGACCUGAGAGAGACCCAGCUCUGCAGGCCUCGGCGCCCGCACAGCAGCUCAACAGCCUGAUGCUGACUAUGUCUUCACAGCCCUUUACAGUUUGCAAAGCACUUGUCUACUCACCAUUAGAGCCUCGCAAGAAUCCUGUGAGGAAUAUUUAUUGAGCAUCUUCUACAUGCCAAGUCCUGUGCUGGGGCUGGAAUUCCUGUGCUGACCCCGAAGACCAGAGAAAUGUUUUCUGCUUCAUUCUCACUGGCUGGACCUGGGCCUCCUCCCACCUCCCUGGCUGCAGCUGCAAAGAGAAGAAAGCUUUCAUUGGGCCCUGAAAGCUGUCCUUGAGCUGUGAUUCCAGGCCAGAAUCCACGCAGACAGCAGCCCUUGGCCAGCUCUGUUCAAGAUGGUGGGAGGGGUUCAAAGGAGAACAAAGACAAGGAUGAUGCUAGACGCCCAGUUGGAGAUGGCAGAUAACCCAUCAAACUGAGCUGGAAGCCAUCCUGAAGCAUCUAGCAUUUCUGUUGAUCCUGCCAAAUGGCAGUCUCCUGGGACCCAACCAGAGAUGGGAACUCUGCUACCUCUUGAGGGACAUGGAUCUACGCCUCUGGGUGGCUUCCCGGGAUGAAGCUGCAGUCCCUGGGACAUCAGAGAGUCCAAAGCAAUCAAGAUUCUCAGAUCUUCAUCCAGGAAAAAGGACAGCCCGGGGCCAGUUUUGGCCCCAAGGUUUCAUGUCUUCAUCACUUCAAGAACUACUGUUUUAUUCUGAAGGAUUGGCACCUAAACGAUCUGAGAAUAUUACAAAAAUAAUGAUA